GUACCCAACCCACCCGGUGUGAAGUGUAAUGGGGACCAGAGUUGGGACGUACCAAACCCACCCGCGGUGAAGUUAAUGGGGAUGGUAGGUGGGAUGUACCCAACCCACCCGGUGUGAAGUUACUGGGGACGGGGGGCAGGACGUACCAAACCCACCCGAGGUGAAUGUAAUGGGGACCAGGGGUGGGACGUACCAAUCCCACCUGAGGUGAAGUUAAUGGGGCCGGGGGUGGUACAUACCCAAUGCACCUGCGGUGAAGUGUAGUGGAGAUGGGGGGCGGGACGUACCAAACCCACCCGAGAUGAAGUGUAAUGACCACAGAGGGGCGGGAUGUACCCAACGCACU
Gopherus flavomarginatus (Mexican gopher tortoise) is the source of this 346-nucleotide long non-coding RNA. RefSeq lists it as uncharacterized. The record is from RefSeq and is a predicted model, not a curated record. NCBI's taxonomy places the organism in Eukaryota, Metazoa, Chordata, Testudines, Testudinidae. The transcript has 3 exons.